AGUUUUUAGUACGUAUGCGCCAGGGAUGGCGAAUCGUGCAUGCUGCUAUAAAGCCCAGUAGUAUCUUUCGAAGAUUUUCU
This is a non-coding RNA of Glossina palpalis gambiensis, 80 nucleotides long. The record is from Rfam. NCBI's taxonomy places the organism in Eukaryota, Metazoa, Arthropoda, Insecta, Diptera, Glossinidae.